Anguilla anguilla (European eel) is the source of this 749-nucleotide long non-coding RNA. RefSeq lists it as uncharacterized. Lineage: Eukaryota; Metazoa; Chordata; Actinopteri; Anguilliformes; Anguillidae. The transcript has 4 exons. The record is from RefSeq and is a predicted model, not a curated record.
ACUCAUGAGUAAACACUAACACAAACUUCACCCACAUUUCUUUUCUUUCGCAGUCUCGAGCGAGACUUUCACUUUAACUUUGAGAUUUAAAGUGUGCCUCCCUUCCAACUGAAACGGUGUACUCACGUAACAAGGCACUUCACCAGGACACGGGCAUGCAAGAGAAGAAUGUAAAGCGGCUAAGUUGCAAAGUAACCAUUCAGGCGUUCAAUUCGCCGGGUAGCGAAGGCAUGAGCAGGGACACGGUCACCUCUGAAGAGUUCAUGAGCUCAAGUUUUCUUAUUCCAAACUGCUUGAAUAGUGCCCAGGGACAGGUCUCCUCUCUCCAACCUGCAAGACCCUUUACAACCACCCCGGUGUUCAGAACCCAUUUUGCCCAUCUUGUUUUCCUGGAGUCCGCCAGUGCAGGAAACUGGAAAAUGACAUUUAUUCAAUACCUUUCAGGAUCCUGCAUUAUGCUUACCCAGCGUUCCUCCUCUGAGUUAAGUUAAACCAUCACGGCCUGAUGCAUAAAUAGGUUUUUUAAAAAGGCUCCCCCCUGCACUGGGAAAAGAGAGGAGACAGGGAGGUGCCGAGACUGCUCUGCCACGUCAUCACCCUCUGUUUCAUGUUUCUUUGUGGAGGAGUACAAAAGUACUACUAGACUGCAAAAUAUGUAAAUCCAAGUCUGAAAGUUUGAAAGCAGUAAAGUUGCAUCGUUCCAUAGUUCAUAUCAUUUUAUGGAAAAUAAAAUUAUUCUUCCAAAUACA